Molecule: transfer RNA, 77 nt
Filed under: Desulfuromonadales bacterium
Lineage: Bacteria; Pseudomonadati; Thermodesulfobacteriota; Desulfuromonadia; Desulfuromonadales
Description: tRNA-Arg
Rfam family: tRNA
About the family: Transfer RNA (tRNA) molecules are approximately 80 nucleotides in length. Their secondary structure includes four short double-helical elements and three loops (D, anti-codon, and T loops).
Source: RNAcentral
GCGCCAGUAGCUCAGCAGGAUAGAGCAGCGGCCUUCUAAGCCGUCGGUCGGGGGUUCGAAUCCUCCCUGGCGCGCCA